RNAcentral lists this ribosomal RNA (291 nucleotides) under uncultured bacterium. RNAcentral describes it as "partial 16S ribosomal RNA". It matches the Rfam family "Bacterial small subunit ribosomal RNA", at positions 28 to 285 of the family's 1533-position model. The record is from RNAcentral.
GACGAACGCUGGCGGCGUGCCUAAUACAUGCAAGUCGAACGCACUCUCGUUUAGAUUGAAGGAGCUUGCUCCUGAUUGAUAAACAUUUGAGUGAGUGGCGGACGGGUGAGUAACACGUGGGUAACCUGCCCUAAAGUGGGGGAUAACAUUUGGAAACAGAUGCUAAUACCGCAUAAAACCUAACACCGCAUGGUGUAGGGUUGAAAGAUGGUUUCGGCUAUCACUUUAGGAUGGACCCGCGGUGCAUUAGUUAGUUGGUGAGGUAAAGGCUCACCAAGACCGUGAUGCAUA